This 817-nucleotide ribosomal RNA is filed under the name Ophiobolus hydei. RNAcentral's name for it is "Ophiobolus sp. HBJ-2019a partial large subunit ribosomal RNA". It matches the Rfam family "Eukaryotic large subunit ribosomal RNA", at positions 75 to 911 of the family's 3401-position model. Lineage: Eukaryota; Fungi; Ascomycota; Dothideomycetes; Pleosporales; Phaeosphaeriaceae. The record is from RNAcentral.
UUGCCCUAGUAACGGCGAGUGAAGCGGCAACAGCUCAAAUUUGAAAUCUGGCUCUUUUAGAGUCCGAGUUGUAAUUUGCAGAGGGCGCUUUGGCGUUGGCAGCGGUCCAAGUUCUUUGGAACAGGACGUCACAGAGGGUGAGAAUCCCGUACGUGGUCGCUAUCCUUCGCCGUGUAAAGCCCCUUCGACGAGUCGAGUUGUUUGGGAAUGCAGCUCUAAAUGGGAGGUAAAUUUCUUCUAAAGCUAAAUACUGGCCAGAGACCGAUAGCGCACAAGUAGAGUGAUCGAAAGAUGAAAAGCACUUUGGAAAGAGAGUCAAAUAGCACGUGAAAUUGUUGAAAGGGAAGCGCUUGCAGCCAGACUUGCCUGUAGUUGCUUAUCUGGACUUUUGUCCAGUGCACUCUUCUAUAGGCAGGCCAGCAUCAGUUUGGGCGGUUAGAUAAAGGUCUCUGUCAUGUACCUCUCUUCGGGGAGGCCUUAUAGGGGAGACGACAUGUAACCAGCCUGGACUGAGGUCCGCGCAUCUGCUAGGAUGCUGGCGUAAUGGCUGUAAGCGGCCCGUCUUGAAACACGGACCAAGGAGUCUAACAUCUAUGCGAGUGUUUGGGUGUCAAGCCCAGACGCGUAAUGAAAGUGAACGGAGGUAGGAACCCUUUGGGUGCACUAUCGACCGAUCCUGAUGUCUUCGGAAGGAUUUGAGUAAGAGCAUGGCUGUUGGGACCCGAAAGAUGGUGAACUAUGCUUGAAUAGGGUGAAGCCAGAGGAAACUCUGGUGGAGGCUCGCAGCGGUUCUGACGUGCAAAUCGAUCGUCAAAUU